UACGGAGGGUGCGAGCGUUGUCCGGAAUCACUGGGCGUAAAGGGCGCGUAGGUGGCUCACGCAAGCGUGCGGUGAAAGCCCGGGGCUCAACCCCGGGUCGGCCGUGCGGACUGCGGGGCUGGAGCACUGUAGGGGCAGAUGGAAUUCCGGGUGUAGCGGUGGAAUGCGUAGAGAUCCGGAAGAACAUCGGUGGCGAAGGCGGUCUGCUGGGCAGUUGCUGACACUGAGGCGCGACAGCGUGGGGAGCAAACAGG
Molecule: ribosomal RNA, 254 nt
Filed under: uncultured bacterium
Lineage: Bacteria
Description: partial 16S ribosomal RNA
Rfam family: Bacterial small subunit ribosomal RNA
Source: RNAcentral